This 731-nucleotide long non-coding RNA is filed under the name Nicotiana benthamiana. Its description in RNAcentral is "long non-coding RNA (NBEN_LNC009451)". The record is from RNAcentral. Lineage: Eukaryota; Viridiplantae; Streptophyta; Magnoliopsida; Solanales; Solanaceae.
AAUGUACAGAUUCAAGUCCAACGAUAUAUGAACUGGCAUGUGAACUAACAUGAAGCCUAAUGUAUAAGGUUAUGGGCAGAACAUAUCAUGCAAAUGUAAAUUAUUCACAUCAAUUCGAAAUCAAUACAAAGUUACUGUCGUGAAAGAUCUACUUAGUUACAAAUCCAUGUAUUGUGAAUAACAAACUAUUUCAUGCUUUUAAACUAAACAGGGAAUAUGAGUCUUCACAGAUCAAGUGUAAACAUUUAUAAACUUCCACAAUUCUACUUUGAAUCUUCUCAACUUGAAUGAAGCCAGAUAAGUACCUGGAAAUUGAAUUUCAAAAGAAAAUUGGAGGUCAGUUAAGUAGCAAAAAUAUUCAACUGCAAUUUUAAGCUAUAGCUACAAUCAACAGAUCAACCGCAGCCCAGAUAAGGAUUUCACCCAACAGUCCGCCAGAAUGAGCAAACAAUCGUGCCUCAACCACAAAUAAACUUCACACAAACUUGCAUUCAGACCCAAAUAAUCAGAAACACUUAUACCUCAACAAUACUUCCAAAUAUAACCCAAAAUUCCACCAAUUACCAGGAGCCACAAACAAACACUGGAAAAAGGAUUCGAAGUCGAGCUAAGUUAUCUACGAAACAGUAGCUGUUUUGGUAUUUUUGAAGUUUUUCUUAUUUUUUUUGUUUGGUUUUCUUAAUUUGAAAGCUCUUUAGAUCUAAAAAAACUCAGAAUGGAAAGGUUUUUGA